CCUACGGGAGGCAGCAGUGGGGAAUUUUGGACAAUGGGCGCAAGCCUGAUCCAGCAAUGCCGCGUGCAGGAUGAAGGCCUUCGGGUUGUAAACUGCUUUUGUACGGAACGAAAUGGCGAACUCUAAUAAAGUUCGCUAAUGACGGUACCGUAAGAAUAAGCACCGGCUAACUACGUGCCAGCAGCCGCGGUAAUACGUAGGGUGCAAGCGUUAAUCGGAAUUACUGGGCGUAAAGCGUGCGCAGGCGGUGAUGUAAGACAGAUGUGAAAUCCCCGGGCUCAACCUGGGACCUGCAUUUGUGACUGCAUCGCUAGAGUACGGUAGAGGGGGAUGGAAUUCCGCGUGUAGCAGUGAAAUGCGUAGAUAUGCGGAGGAACACCGAUGGCGAAGGCAAUCCCCUGGACCUGUACUGACGCUCAUGCACGAAAGCGUGGGGAGCAAACAGGAUUAGAUACCCUGGUAGUCCACGCCCUAAACGAUGUCAACUGGUUGUUGGGUCUUCGCUGACUCAGUAACGAAGCUAACGCGUGAAGUUGACCGCCUGGGGAGUACGGCCGCAAGGUUGAAACGUUAAAGGAAAUUGACGG
RNAcentral lists this ribosomal RNA (587 nucleotides) under uncultured bacterium. RNAcentral's name for it is "bacterial SSU rRNA". It matches the Rfam family "Bacterial small subunit ribosomal RNA", at positions 338 to 916 of the family's 1533-position model. The record is from RNAcentral.